RNAcentral lists this ribosomal RNA (497 nucleotides) under uncultured bacterium. RNAcentral's name for it is "partial 16S ribosomal RNA". It matches the Rfam family "Bacterial small subunit ribosomal RNA", at positions 28 to 507 of the family's 1533-position model. The record is from RNAcentral.
GAUGAACGCUGGCGGCGUGCCUAAUACAUGCAAGUCGAGCGAACGGACGAGAAGCUUGCUUCUCUGAUGUUAGCGGCGGACGGGUGAGUAACACGUGGAUAACCUACCUAUAAGACUGGGAUAACUUCGGGAAACCGGAGCUAAUACCGGAUAAUAUUUUGAACCGCAUGGUUCAAAAGUGAAAGACGGUCUUGCUGUCACUUAUAGAUGGAUCCGCGCUGCAUUAGCUAGUUGGUAAGGUAACGGCUUACCAAGGCAACGAUGCAUAGCCGUCCUGAGAGGGUGAUCGGCCACACUGGAACUGAGACACGGUCCAGACUCCUACGGGAGGCAGCAGUAGGGAAUCUUCCGCAAUGGGCGAAAGCCUGACGGAGCAACGCCGCGUGAGUGAUGAAGGUCUUCGGAUCGUAAAACUCUGUUAUUAGUGAAGAACAUAUGUGUAAGUAACUGUGCACAUCUUGACGGUACCUAAUCAGAAAGCCACGGCUAACUACGUG